Molecule: ribosomal RNA, 253 nt
Filed under: uncultured bacterium
Lineage: Bacteria
Description: partial 16S ribosomal RNA
Rfam family: Bacterial small subunit ribosomal RNA
Source: RNAcentral
UACAGAGGGGGCAAGCGUUAUUCGGAAUUAUUGGGCGUAAAGGGCGCGUAGGCGGCUUUUCAAGUGACGGGUGAAAUCCCUCGGCUUAACCGAGGAACUGCCUGUCAGACUGGGAGGCUUGAGACCGGGAGAGGUGAGUGGAAUUCCCAGUGUAGCGGUGAAAUGCGUAGAUAUUGGGAGGAACACCAGUGGCGAAGGCGGCUCACUGGACCGGAACUGACGCUGAGGCGCGAAAGCGUGGGGAGCAAACAGG